UUUCUGCUACUUCUGCGACUUCUGCGAUUUCUGCUACUUCUGCGAUUUCUGUGACUUCUGCUACUUCUGCGAUUUCUGUGACUUCUGCUACUUCUGCGAUUUCUGUGACUCCUGCGAUUGCUGCGACGUACCACCGUAUGAAAAAGUUACAUCUGUCCACACAGAAAAUUGCAUCUCAACAAACCUGUCAUUGGUACCUGAACUACAUUUCAGUCACUCAGUAAAGUGAUAAUUCAAAAUAUCAUUGUCAACAGAUCUGAAGAAAUUGCCAGUCUUUAGACCGUUUUCGUCAGACGACAGACGCAGUUCUGACUGAUUACUGGUUGCUGUACAUAUCUAUCCACAUCAAGGCUGUUGAGAGAGACUCGUGAAGAUUCAAGACAGCUCUUAGAGGAUUUGCAGUUUAAAAGUGAAAUAAUUAUGAAAUAAGUGUAUGACUGAUUAAAGUGUUUGAUUGAAG
This is a long non-coding RNA of Schistocerca serialis cubense, 460 nucleotides long. RefSeq lists it as uncharacterized. Lineage: Eukaryota; Metazoa; Arthropoda; Insecta; Orthoptera; Acrididae. The record is from RefSeq and is a predicted model, not a curated record. The transcript is spliced from 3 exons.